CCAGAGUUGAAAGAUAUCUUGUCUUCCAUGCUGGCUUCUUCUGAGGGCCCAGCCCUGUCUGGAUGCCUGUAAUAUUUUAUCUGACCCAGCUGCCUACAACACUAACCCAUCACAAAAGCCACG
This is a long non-coding RNA of Octodon degus (degu), 123 nucleotides long. RefSeq lists it as uncharacterized. Lineage: Eukaryota; Metazoa; Chordata; Mammalia; Rodentia; Octodontidae. The record is from RefSeq and is a predicted model, not a curated record. The transcript is spliced from 3 exons.